RNAcentral lists this ribosomal RNA (253 nucleotides) under uncultured bacterium. Its description in RNAcentral is "partial 16S ribosomal RNA". It matches the Rfam family "Bacterial small subunit ribosomal RNA", at positions 524 to 776 of the family's 1533-position model. The record is from RNAcentral.
UACGUAGGGGGCAAGCGUUGUCCGGAUUCAUUGGGCGUAAAGAGCGUGUAGGCGGCCAGGUAGGUCGGUUGUGAAAACUGGAGGCUUAACCUUCAGACGUCGACCGAAACCAUCUGGCUAGAGUCCGGAAGAGGAGAGUGGAAUUCCUGGUGUAGCGGUGAAAUGCGCAGAUAUCAGGAGGAACACCUAUUGCGAAGGCAGCUCGCUGGGACGUUACUGACGCUGAGACGCGAAAGCGUGGGGAGCAAACAGG